CUCAAGAAGGCUGGAUGAAACCACCACAUAACAGAGCUGUCCUUCAGGAGGGGAACAGUUGCUGCCAGUUGUGGAUGUACAGCUCAUUGGACCCUGCUGACACUAUCCUGGUGAGGAAUUGAGGAAGACCUGCUUCUGCCAGACAGGGGAUGGAAGAGCAGCAACCCCCUCAACCAGUCAACACCAACCUGGGUGGAAUCAAAGUGCUGCUGUCUGUUUCCAGUUGGAAGCUUCUACAGGGUCCUGUCCAGGAUACAUGGGAGGUAACAAGGAAACCCAGGGAACCCCUUGCAGUGUUGGUCCUCAAGUCCCAAGGUACCUGAGGAGUCACCUUCUUUUGAACUUCAGAGUCUUUCCAUGCAUGUUUGUUGAACUAUGCCCAGGGUUUUUAGUUCUAAGAAGGAGGACCUGGGAGGAAUGAGGCAACUUCAAUUUGGUCUUCACCAAAAGUCCUCUUUGUAAAUACCUUAG
Molecule: long non-coding RNA, 471 nt
Filed under: Equus caballus (horse)
Lineage: Eukaryota; Metazoa; Chordata; Mammalia; Perissodactyla; Equidae
Description: lncRNA (ENSECAG00000053756.1)
Source: RNAcentral